This 523-nucleotide ribosomal RNA is filed under the name Bifidobacterium longum subsp. suillum. RNAcentral's name for it is "bacterial SSU rRNA". It matches the Rfam family "Bacterial small subunit ribosomal RNA", at positions 165 to 703 of the family's 1533-position model. The record is from RNAcentral. Lineage: Bacteria; Bacillati; Actinomycetota; Actinomycetes; Bifidobacteriales; Bifidobacteriaceae.
AAUGCCGGAUGCUCCAGUUGAUCGCAUGGUCUUCUGGGAAAGCUUUCGCGGUAUGGGAUGGGGUCGCGUCCUAUCAGCUUGACGGCGGGGUAACGGCCCACCGUGGCUUCGACGGGUAGCCGGCCUGAGAGGGCGACCGGCCACAUUGGGACUGAGAUACGGCCCAGACUCCUACGGGAGGCAGCAGUGGGGAAUAUUGCACAAUGGGCGCAAGCCUGAUGCAGCGACGCCGCGUGAGGGAUGGAGGCCUUCGGGUUGUAAACCUCUUUUAUCGGGGAGCAAGCGAGAGUGAGUUUACCCGUUGAAUAAGCACCGGCUAACUACGUGCCAGCAGCCGCGGUAAUACGUAGGGUGCAAGCGUUAUCCGGAAUUAUUGGGCGUAAAGGGCUCGUAGGCGGUUCGUCGCGUCCGGUGUGAAAGUCCAUCGCUUAACGGUGGAUCCGCGCCGGGUACGGGCGGGCUUGAGUGCGGUAGGGGAGACUGGAAUUCCCGGUGUAACGGUGGAAUGUGUAGAUAUCGGGAA